RNAcentral lists this ribosomal RNA (1178 nucleotides) under Escherichia coli. RNAcentral's name for it is "partial 23S ribosomal RNA". It matches the Rfam family "Bacterial large subunit ribosomal RNA", at positions 1 to 1212 of the family's 2925-position model. Lineage: Bacteria; Pseudomonadati; Pseudomonadota; Gammaproteobacteria; Enterobacterales; Enterobacteriaceae. The record is from RNAcentral.
GGGUUGUGAGGUUAAGCGACUAAGCGUACACGGUGGAUGCCCUGGCAGUCAGAGGCGAUGAAGGACGUGCUAAUCUGCGAUAAGCGUCGGUAAGGUGAUAUGAACCGUUAUAACCGGCGAUUUCCGAAUGGGGAAACCCAGUGUGAUUCGUCACACUAUCAUUAACUGAAUCCAUAGGUUAAUGAGGCGAACCGGGGGAACUGAAACAUCUAAGUACCCCGAGGAAAAGAAAUCAACCGAGAUUCCCCCAGUAGCGGCGAGCGAACGGGGAGGAGCCCAGAGCCUGAAUCAGUGUGUGUGUUAGUGGAAGCGUCUGGAAAGGCGCGCGAUACAGGGUGACAGCCCCGUACACAAAAAUGCACAUACUGUGAGCUCGAUGAGUAGGGCGGGACACGUGGUAUCCUGUCUGAAUAUGGGGGGACCAUCCUCCAAGGCUAAAUACUCCUGACUGACCGAUAGUGAACCAGUACCGUGAGGGAAAGGCGAAAAGAACCCCGGCGAGGGGAGUGAAAAAGAACCUGAAACCGUGUACGUACAAGCAGUGGGAGCCUCUUUAUGGGGUGACUGCGUACCUUUUGUAUAAUGGGUCAGCGACUUAUAUUCUGUAGCAAGGUUAACCGAAUAGGGGAGCCGAAGGGAAACCGAGUCUUAACUGGGCGUUAAGUUGCAGGGUAUAGACCCGAAACCCGGUGAUCUAGCCAUGGGCAGGUUGAAGGUUGGGUAACACUAACUGGAGGACCGAACCGACUAAUGUUGAAAAAUUAGCGGAUGACUUGUGGCUGGGGGUGAAAGGCCAAUCAAACCGGGAGAUAGCUGGUUCUCCCCGAAAGCUAUUUAGGUAGCGCCUCGUGAAUUCAUCUCCGGGGGUAGAGCACUGUUUCGGCAAGGGGGUCAUCCCGACUUACCAACCCGAUGCAAACUGCGAAUACCGGAGAAUGUUAUCACGGGAGACACACGGCGGGUGCUAACGUCCGUCGUGAAGAGGGAAACAACCCAGACCGCCAGCUAAGGUCCCAAAGUCAUGGUUAAGUGGGAAACGAUGUGGGAAGGCCCAGACAGCCAGGAUGUUGGCUUAGAAGCAGCCAUCAUUUAAAGAAAGCGUAAUAGCUCACUGGUCGAGUCGGCCUGCGCGGAAGAUGUAACGGGGCUAAACCAUGCACCGAAGCUGCGGCAGCGAC